Molecule: long non-coding RNA, 207 nt
Filed under: Mytilus galloprovincialis (Mediterranean mussel)
Lineage: Eukaryota; Metazoa; Mollusca; Bivalvia; Mytilida; Mytilidae
Source: RNAcentral
GAACCUUGCAAGACAGACAUGUACACAAUAACAUUAGUCCAUGCAUCGAAUAUAGUAGUCCUUUUGCUUAAAGUAUCCAUGAAACAAGGUUUACAAGGAAAACUAAACAUUGACUAAUGAACCAUAAAAGUGACGUGAAGGUCGGAUCAUACCUGUAAGAGAGAAACAUAUACCUUACCAUCAUUCCAUACACCAAAUACAGUUGAC